UAAAAGCUUAGUCCUGGCUUUACUGUCAGCUUUAGUCCAACUUACACAUGCAAGUAUCCGCACCCCCGUGAGGAUGCCCCACAGCCCCCAGCCGGAGCCAAGGAGCCGGUAUCAGGCGCAUAAAUUAGCCCAUAACACCUUGCUCAGCCACACCCCCAAGGGUACUCAGCAGUGACAGACAUUAAAUAAUAAGUGAAAACUUGAAUUAGUUAGGGAUAACAGAGCCGGUAAACAUUCGUGCCAGCAGCCGCGGUUACACGGUUGGCUCAAGUUGAUGGCUGUCGGCGUAAGGUGUGGUUAGGAGACAAUUUGAACUAGAGCUGUAUGGACCCCGAGCCGUCUAAGGUUUAGAACGGGUAAGAAAGUCAAUAACGAAAGUAGCUUUAUCUAGUCUGAUGCCACGAAAACUGGGAGACAAACUGGGAUUAGAUACCCCACUAUGCCUAGUUGUAAAAGUUGAUGGGUAACUACACACCCAUCCGCCCGGGUACUACAAGCGCAAGCUUGAAACCCAAAGGACUUGGCGGUGCUUUAGACCCCCCUAGAGGAGCCUGUUCUAGAAACGACUCUACACGUUUAACCUCACCCCUCCUAGUAAGCCAGCCUAUAUACCACCGUCGCCAGCCCACCCCGUGAGGGAAUAACAGUAGGCUAGACUGAACAUAUCCCCGUAUGUCAGGUCGAGGUGUAGCUAAUGAAGGGGGAAGAGAUGGGCUACAUUUUCUAUACAUAGAUCAAACGAAUUAUGCUCUGAAAGCAUGCAUCUGAAGGUGGAUUUAGCAGUAAGCGGAAAUUAGAAUGCUCCGCUGAAGACGGCAAUGAAGCGCGUACAGACCGCCCGUCAUUCUCCCCGAAUCUAUAUUCUAAAUUCCUAAUAAGUUACAAUCGGUAAAGGGGAGGCAAGUCGUAACAAGGUAAGUGUACCGGAAGGUGCGCUUUGCCUAUC
RNAcentral lists this non-coding RNA (946 nucleotides) under Limnichthys fasciatus (barred sand burrower). Its description in RNAcentral is "12S ribosomal RNA". It matches the Rfam family "Bacterial small subunit ribosomal RNA". The record is from RNAcentral. Lineage: Eukaryota; Metazoa; Chordata; Actinopteri; Acropomatiformes; Creediidae.